AAAAAAAAAAACUCUCUUAAUGAGAUUCUAACCUUGGCUUUACCCCUUUGAGAGAGAUUCAUUUGAUUUUGCAUAUGUUUAUGGUAAAUUAUCAGUGCUUACAUCAAUUUGGUUUUGUUCCCAGUCUAGUACAAUUUUAAAAGUAAAUUUUGGAAUUGGACAAAUAAUUAUUUUUUGAAAAUGAGUAAAUCAUAUAUGAAUGAUACAAUUCAAUCAUUAAUGAAAUCGCCAAUUUAAAGUAUGAGUUUGUAAAAAUGAAAAACUCAUACAUUUCGUAUACCAUUUUAUCUAUGAAAUAUACGUUUUUUAAUUUAAAAUAAUAAGAACAUGCAGAAUUAAAAAAAUUUAAAAAUGAAAAUCUUAAUGAGGUUUACAUUUUUGCAGAGAAAUCGUAUACCUCCUUUAUGUUUUUAAGUUUCGUUUUUUAUUAUAUAUAAUUAAAAAAUAUGUAUAAAAUAUUUCUUAACUAAAUAAGUUUUUAUAAAAUAUUUUAUUAUUAUGUAUAAUUAAAGAAUAAUAACUGAAUUUCAUAAAAUAUUUGUUUAUUAUAUAUAAUUAAAUAAUAACUGAAUAAGUUUUUAUAAAUUAUUUUAUUAUUAUAUAUAACUAAAUAAUCACUGAAUUUUUAGAAAAUACUUAUUUAUUAUAUAUAAUUAAAUAAUAUUUGAAUAGGUUUGUAUAAAUGAUUUUAUUAUUAUUAUAUGUAAUUAAGGAAUGACUGAAUUUGUAGAAAAUAGAUUUUUAUUAUAUAAUUAAAAAUUAAAUAUAAAUUUUUUUAUUUUUAAUACAUUCAAAUUUAUUUUAAUUUUUUAAUAAAUUCAAUGAUAUAAUAUUUUAAUAAAAUAAAAAAAUAUAAAUAAAUUAUUUUAAAAAAUAAUUAAAUUAGAUCUAUUUUAUAUGAUAAAAUAUGAAGUUAUAUUAAUUUAUAUGUCUAUUGCUUCAAGUUUCAUUUUAUUCCAAAUUUCUAAUUUCACAAAGAAAGAUAAAUGAAGAGAUUUCUGUUGUUAUACCAUGAUUUAAUUUCUGUACAAAGGACAUAAGCGAAAAGAUGAAAGACAUUAAUUUAAUUUUAAUCUAAGGAUUCAGAUUGUAUGUUCUCAUUUUUAUAACCCUAAACCCUAAUUUAUAUAAUUAAUUUCAUAUUAUAUAUUUUAAAAAUAAAAUAAAUAAAAAAAAUAAAAAAUAAUUAUAAUCAACAAACUAAAUCGAAUGAUGUGUGAACAACCAAUCUUUUUCAGUGAAACUAUUUUGAGCGAGAUUAAGAGUGCGGGAAAUAGAGAGAGAAGAUAUUGAAAUAAGAGAGAGAGAAAUUUCGCAGAGAAGAACAGAGUUUGAUUUGAUUGUGUGGUGAGAGCAUGGACGAAGAUCAAAUAGAAGGCUGUGUGAGUGGGUACCUCAAGCAGAAAGGGUUUGCGCAAAACGAUGACCAACUUCAACUUUCCAACACCGAUUCCUCUCUUCAACCCGACACUCUCAAUCGUGCUCAGUAUUCAUUCUCUCUUUCUAUUUCGUUUCAAUUUUCCUUUUCAAUUUAUGUCAAAUUGCAGUACUCCAUCACCUUUCAGUUGCUAUGUCUCUUAAUUUAAACCCUCCUGCUUAUGAAGAUUAUGUUUGUUAUCAGAGUUUAAAAUUAGACAUCAAAUCGCAUAGUGUUAGUGUCACUCGUGAAACCAUUAUAAUUAGGACUCCCAGAUGCCAAGAGUUUUAAGACUACGGCCUAUAUUGGAUUUAUAGUUGGUUGGAGGUGUUGGUGGGUUUGUCACGGCCUGUAGCUGGUGCAAGAUGGAAAGGACAUAUGUAUUUUGAUGGUUUUGUAGCUGUAGUUUGCAGUGCUCAUAACAUUCCAAUACGAGCUAGCUGGAAUAGGAUGUCUAACUUAUGCAGCAAACAUUAUCUUUCUAUUGCUUAUGGGGUGUUUGUUCAUCUCUUUAUUCUUGGAGAUUCUUAAUGUGGUUUGGUUUAUGUAAAAGGGUUGAGAUACCUCUUUUGUAUCCCUCUUAAUUUAAUUUCAUUUUUUGCUGCAAAAAAAAAAACAACUCGUGAAACCAUGGAGCUACUGUCAAUAAUCAAAGCAUACACGAAAUUGCUUUUUUUUAUUAUAUAUAUAGAUAGAUAAAUAUAGAUAUACAUAUAUGAUUUAUUUGUUUCAUGUCUAAAGUGACAUCACCAAGAAUUGAAGCUUGAAUCACUUAAAGUUGAGUAUACUCACUGCUUAAUUCAUGCGAGGUAUGUUAUGGUAUGGCUGAGAGAUGUCUUUGUCCUUCAAGCAUGUGAUUAGAGUUUGAUUUCUAGGCCUGUCUGAACGGAAAAAGUUUUGUUAGGAGUGUUGGGUUUUUCGAGGAGAGAUUUGUCACUAAUGAGCCUUGAGUAAACUCAUACAAUGAGACUAUCUUUUAUCCAAAGCUUUAAGACAAUGAGUUUGUGAUUCUUUCUUCUUGUAUAUUGCUCAUCUUGCUCAUUUCUCACUAAUGUAGGACUUCUAACUCUCACUUGAAUUUCUAAUGAGGCGAGAUAAGCUUCAUAAUUAUAGAUAGGAAUACCAUGAGUGAUUUGUCUUCAACUACUGGGAGGAAUACUCUGGAUUCACUGAAAAAAACACUUAAACAUUUCAAUUAGAAAUUUAGUUUUAAAUUGUUACAUGUCAAUGAAAUUGCAGCCCACCUUAGGGCCUAAGAUUUGGGUUAUUUCAUAUUUUGAAGAUGCAUUGAGUGCUCUGAAAAAUUUAGGAAUUUGUGAUCUGAUGGUGCAUUUCUAAUCAAUAGAGUUAUCCUUCCUCAUUGCUACAUGUUACUAAUUUCUUUGGCAUAAACAGUCUUGCUCGCUCUUCUAUGUUAAUUCAGAGGACUUCAAUGCAAAUUAUGUUAAAAGGGAUAAGUGUGUAGGUUUACUUUUGUGAAUGAGGUAGAAAAAAGUUAGUAAAUUAGUUUGGCUUUUACAAUAUUUUAAUUGUUUCAAUUAGGAAAUAUAUGAAUUAAUCAAGAGGAUGAAACGGACAGUUAGUUUGAUUGGCCUAUUUUAAAGUGUGUUUUUAAGCCACAAGUGUUAUCUGUUCUUGACUUUUUUUAGCAUCUCACAAGAAAACUAUUGCACAAAUAUGAUUUCAAAUUCUAUUGUUUUCCUUUAAAAACAGUUAGCAAGCAUAUAAGCUGAAGAGGAGGUUUACGUGUUUUCUUAGAAUAUAGUCAUCAGUUUGCACUAAUCAUACACUAUAUUACCCUUUCAACACAAAUCUUUUCAGGAAUAUUUUUUUUGAAUGAAAACCCUUUAUUUUGCAGAUUGGAGAGAGGUUCCGCUAGAUACCAUGAUGGGUAUGGAAGACUAAGAUCAUGGGCAUACAGAUCACUUGAAUCAUACAAGGUAGCAUGCCGUUUGGUUACUGUCUUGUUUAAAGUUCAAUUACAAAAUUGCUAUGUUUCAAUUUCUUACAUAUGGAUUGCCACUUCUUUGCAGCAUGAGUUGCUGCGUGUGCUUUAUCCAGUAUUUAUCCAUUGCUUCAUGGAUCUUGUGUCAAAAGGGCAUCUUCAGGAAGGUAUGAAAUAUUUAUUCACACAGACAUUUAACAAUAAUUAUUUAUAAUAUUUUUGAUGGAUUUUGAAGUUCCUAAUGUGGCCAUCAGUGCAACAUGUGUUUUAUGCUUCUGUUUACAUGAUUCAUGAUUCUGUUGGAUAUACUCAGCUUGGAACUUUUUCAAUACCUUUCGUGAAGACCAUGAAAUGAUGCACUCACGGGACCUUCAGAAAUUGGAACUAGUUCUUUCUCCUGCUCAUUUGGUGGUUGGCUGCUGUCUAAAAUAUGAUAUCUUUUAUAUGUUCUUCAAUAUUGUUAGAUAGCUAGCACUAUAUAAUCCUUCAAUAUUGUUCUUUCUCAGGAAAUGGAAUUCGCUCAUUCCCUUAGGCAGAGUAAGUUCAACAUAAAGAUAUGUCGGGUAAUGUCUUUAUUUACCUAGAUUCGUUUGUUAAUAUGCUUUAAUUGAACUGUUUUUUCAGUAACUCCUUUCAGUACUCAUUAGAUUAAAUAUUUUUUUCAGUUAGUUUCAUAAUCCAUGAGAAUUUGGGUAGAACUUUUGUUCCCCUUUCAGGCUUCUUUUUCUGUGUUUUACUAUUCUCCCAUGAUUUUAUUUUUUAUUAAUAUUGAUGAUGCUUUUCUCUUUGGAAAAAUGUUUGGCCAUUAGCAUUUGAUUUGCAGUUUCUGAAAAAAGAAAGGGUAUACAUAAAGACCAUUUGUUGGCUUAUUUAUAGUUUUGUUAAGAAUUUUCACCACUGAGGUCAAUUACAUCUACGUUCUCUAUAUAUUUAAAAAUCUGAUAGAUAAUGUUUUGGACUUCUGGCAGUAUUCUUAUGAGCUUCUACUGCAACAUCUACAUAGUAUGCAAUCAAGCACAAUAAUUGGUAUUAUCAAUGAGCAUGUUGGCUUCCAAGGUACUUUUCCUCAUUUUAAGUUGUGUGUUAAUUCUGUUCAUUUACUUGCCAGUUUUGCAUUAAUUUCAUUUUUGUUGCACUGCAGUUACAGCUGGACAACCGAGCUCAAUUUCUGAUGAUCCAGAAGCUGUUACCCUCAGUGGAAGCAUCCAGGAUGCAGCAAACAAGAUAAAUCAGAAAGAAAUACUCUGGGGGGUGAGUUCUUUAAUUGUUUACGAAGCUAGGCAAUAUUAUAAAGUUAUCUUGCUCUUUUUGUUUCAAUGCAUCCGAGUUUCUUAUUUUUGCAAGCUUUUGUUGUAAUAAAAAGUGUAUUAUAAUAGCAUUUAUAAAUUAUAAUACCUAAACUUUCAAAGACUUAAAAAUUGCUUACUUUUAUGCAUUUCACAGUUUUAAUGCCUUGAACAACACUCUGUUGAACUUUGACAUCUGUUACAUCCUUUGUCAUAAUUUCAUCACUGUACUUGGGUUAUUGUGUGGAAUACUAAUUAUUAAUGAGCAGAUUCUUUGAUUGGGCCAGAUUUAGAGUUGUGCCUUGUUUUCCAGGGUGGGAGCAAUGGCUCCUCCAAAAUUUUAAAAACUACACAAUUUUUAUUUCCUUUCCUUUCGUAUGAUGUGUUUGAAGGGGAUUGAAAUGGCUGUUAGUUUCAUUUAAUAGUAUACAAAAUUACUUAGUAAGUGGACUGACUUGUUUUGAGUGAUGGUUGAUUAUUGGAUAUGUACCCAAUAUGGUAUUGCAACCAUUUAGAACAAUUCAUUCAGCGUAUACUUCCAUUGGGGUUGUUAUGUGUUUAAUUUGGACUGGCAGUUCUGGUGGUGUUGUUAAAAUACAGAUUUAGGUAUAGAGGGAGACAGAGAUAAAAGAGAAUAAAACACUAAUUUUAUUAAUUGAGAUGUAUUACAAUGUAUUGAUGCAUUACAUACGCUCACAAAACCUGCAGAACUAACCUCUAUUUAUACUAAUCAUAAUCUAACUAAUUUAGGAAGCAAAUAUUGAUACGGUGAGAAAAUAUGGUAACCAAUCCUAAAAGAUAACGAGGAAACUAAUCGUAGAGGAUAAUCUAAGAAAUGAUAACAUAAUUUUAUAUAUUCUAAAAGUUAUCAUUCAGUUCAGAGACUUAUUAUUGGAUUCAAAGAGCUUGAGUGACUUUUCUGAACACUCAGCUGAACUAUUUUAUAUUAUAUAUUAUGUAUGUGUGUGUGUGUGAAAGCCAAAAUGAGCACACUAAGAGAAAGAAACCAAGAACAGAUCGUGGCAUUUAUGGCAGCAGGCUACAAUCAGAAUAGAGUCUCAAAAAUAGGAAUUGUGUAGACAAUAAGGCAAAUAAUAUUAUAUCAAACAUAAAUCUAAGCUCUCCCUCAAGCUAGAGUAUGCAUUUUGUAUCCCCCAAGCUUGGACAUAAAUUAAAUUUGAGUCCCUUUCUAAGACUUGGUCAAGACAUCUGCAAGUUGAUCACUUAGCUGAUAAAUUUGGUAGAAAUUUCGUAGGACAAUAGCCUCUCCCGAAUAAAAUGACAGUCAAUCUCUAUCUACAUGCUUAGUUCUUUCAUAGAACAUUGGAUUAAAGGAAACUUGAAAAACUGUUUAUUACCACGAUUGUUGAAUAUCACAAAAUUUUAACCCUUGAAGUUGUUUAUCCACACCAAUUGGCCAUAGCUCUUUACUCUAUUUUUGCACUAGAUUGAACAACAAUGUUUUGUUUAUUAUUCUUCCAAGAGAUAAUAUUUCCUCCGGUGGAAAUACAAUAUCUGGUGGUAGAUCUCUUGUCCACGGGACAUUCUACCCAAUCAACAUCACAUCACUAUCCAAAAAUUUGGGUAUCUUAGUUAUCCUUGUACAUUAGACCUUGACUUAGAGGCUCUUAAUAUACCCAAGAAUCUAAAUCACAACAUUUGAUCAAUAUGAGCUGCCUACAUGAAUUGACUAAAAAUCCCAACAAAAGAAAUAUCAAGUCUUGUAAUUGCAAGAUAAAUGAGUUUCCCCACCAAUAUUCUAUCUCUUUGGUUCAGAAUAUGAUUCACCUUGCUUUGUUGUUAACUUCUUAUUUGGGUUCAUAGGAUAGUAGGACUAUGAAUGAGCCUAUAAUCAGUCAUGUUUGUCUCCUCCAAAAUAUUCAGAGCAUACUUUCUCAAUGAAAUGACAAUGCCUUCCUUGGAUUGACCCACCUCUAUUCCAGUAUUUUAGGUAGCCAAAUUCCUUGGUGUGGAAGUUACUAAAUAAGUUGUUUAAACUAUGAAAUUUUGGUGGCGUUAUCCCUAUAAUGAUUAUAUCUUAUCAUCAACAUAGAAAACUAUAGUACAAGACUAAGUGAUCUGCUUCAUCAAUCGACUCAAUUUUGUACAAUGUCUGCUAAACUUUCCAAACCAAACUUUUGGAGAUUGUUUAAGUUCAUAGAGAGAUAAAUGAAGUUUACAAACUGCAUUUGACUCUAGCUUGGAAACAAAAUUAAGGAGGUUGUGUCAUGAAAGUUUGUUCUUCCAAUUAACCAUGAAGGAAAGCAUUUUAAAAUGUCUAAGUGAUGAAAAUGCCAAUGACGAAUAACAACCAUUGCUAGAAAGAAACAAACUAUAUUGAUUUUAGUUGAAAGAAAUAGAUGAAAUGUAUGUCUGAUGUGUUUUACAAAUGUGAUUACAGUCUCAAUUUAUAGACUGUUUACAACCUAAUUAAGGAAGGAAAUAAUAGGUAAUGAAAGCAAGAAAUAAUGGGUGAUUAAAGCUGUACAAAUCAAAUCAGAUCACUAACAAAUUUGUCCUAAUAAAUAAAGAAUAAAUUCUGCACUUAUUCUCCUGAUUAUGCAACAAUUUUUGCCACAAGGCCAAAAGUAUACCCUUACUAAGACCAUAUAUCUAGGUAUACACUUUAGCCACUAAUUGGGCUUGAAGACGUUGAGUCUCACCAUUAUAACUAACUUUAAUAGCAUUAUACCAAUUUGCAACAAACUUCCUACUUCUCUUGAGGAAGUGGAACGAUCUCCCAUGUACAAUGUGUUCAAGAGUUUUCAUUUCAACAAUCAUGACUUUUGCUAGUGUUUCACAAAAUUCUUUCGUUUGAAAGAGAAGGGUUUGUGUCAUAUUAAGGAGAUUACUGUUUUUUCUUUUAGCAAUGUCAUUUUGUUGUGGUGUAUACACACAUUUGACUUCAUGAACAAUACCAUUUUCAGAAAGGAAUUUAGACAUGUCAUGAUUUACAUAUUCCCUCUCAUUAUCAAAACACAAACGUUGAAUUGACUUUCCAAAUUCUGUGUUUAUUACAUGGAAGAAUUUGACAAUGAAGUAAAAACUUCAAAUUUUUCUUUCAUGAGGAAAAUCAAUGUGACACGGGUACAACCAUCAAUAAAAGUGACAAACCAUUUAACACUAGAUAGACUAGAAUUUGGUGUAGGCCUCCAUAAAUCAAAAUGAACAAAUCAAAAGAAUGAACACUUUUUGUAUUACUAGAAGGAUAUGUGACGUGAUGAUGCUUUUCAAAUUGACAUACAUCGUACUUGAAUGACUUGACAAACUCUUUGAAAAAUAAAGAAGGAAACAUGAAUUUUAGAACAUAAAGACAUGUCCUAAACGACAAUGGAGAAGUCAAUUUUGAGAGGUUUUAAAAAAUAGUGCAAGAUUGGAGGUAAGAGGUAGCCAUUUGUCUAUUGAUAUUGUCCAUGGUUCUCAAGUUUUUAAGGCAAUACAAGAUCCUGAAAAACACAAUGAGAAGCAUAGAAGAUUACUCAACAAUUUAGGUCAUGAGUAAUUUUUUUGAACUGAAACAAAGUUAUUAGAAAGUUUCGGCAUCUUUAAGGAUAGAUGACAAAAGAGAGAUAUUGUCAUGUCCAAUUAUUAGGACAGAAAUCCCAUUUGCCAUUUGCCAUUUGCAACAAUAAUGGUGAUAUCAAAGGGGAGUUGAACACUAGAGGAGGUGAAGGAAUUGACUUAAAAGGGGAGUUGAAGGAGGUUUCAUCACUUCCAAUCGUGGCAAAUAAGGAGGAUGAUAUCAACUAUGAUGCACACAUGUAGGAGGUACAUCUUCCCAAAUGAGGGAACUCUAGUAGGUAAGAAGACAUACUCAAGAUGAGAAAUUGGAACUAAAGAACAUAAUGAACUCAGAUAAUGUAACAUUAGUUGAACCUAGAUAACAUGAGUUAGUGAGUAGAAUUUACAAUCCCUGUGAAACCUUGUGUAGCCUAAGGGAACACAAUUAUGAGAGUGAAUAGAAGUCUGUCUACCCCAUGAUUGAGAUUAUGAACAAAACACGUGGUCCCAAAUGGGCCAUAAGGAAUGAUGAGGGAACAAGAUUGAAUGUCAUGUUUUUUAAAAAUAGAUGAGAACAUCAGAUUGGUAAGAUAGCACACUGUGGCACAACAUAACCCCAAAAAUGACAAGGAAACAUAUUUGAAGAGAGCCUCAGUGGUUUCAGUAAGGUGCCUUAUUUGACUUUCAAAAUUCUCAUUUUGCUGAAUGGUAUGAUCUCAAGAUGUUUAAUGAAGAAGCCAUGUGAAGCCAUUAAUUAAAUAUUGAAACGAGUGACAAAUAUCUUUGGAUAUUAUCACUAUGUAAAUUGCAGAUGGGAACACUGAAUUGAUUUACUAUUUCAUGGUAAGAAUAUUGAGAGACAGAAAACAGCUUAGAUCAAUGUAUCAUUGGAAACUACAUUGAGAACAACUGCAUUAAUGAAUGUGAUAAAAUAUCUUGACCCUAAUGUGGAUGCAGUAUGACUAGGACAUGGAAUAUCAAAAUGGAAAUGAGACAUAGCACUACAAAGAAAAGAACUAUGAAAAUGUUUUCCUAAUUGAUACUUGACACAAUGGAUAAUUUGGAGAGAGUCAACACCAUUUGACGCAGGAUAAGGGUUACCUAACUGAAAUGUGGAUAUGUAUAGGGGAAUCCGUCAUAGAACAAGCAUGAGUAGAGGUAUUGUGUUGAUAAAGCCCAUGUGACUCUAAUGCCAAUCAUCCACCCCAAACUCCAGUCCAAAAAUGUUCUUCAUUGAAUUCUUUAAUAGACAUAUUUUUCUGAUUUAAUUUAUUAUUAGCUGUUCCAUUAUGGUCUGAUUUCAGUCUCAUUGUAUUUCUCUCAUAGAUGUUUGAAGAUUCUGUAGAAGACCACAUAGAUAAGUCUGGGGCCUUGCUUUCAGGCACAGAAAAGGGUGAAGGUGAGGGCAAAGAGGGAGACAAUGAUGAGAGUAAGGUACAUCUGUUACAAAAGUGCACCCCUGACUCUGUUUCAUGAAUGCUUUUACUGGAUGAUCUGAUACAAUACAUUUCUCAGAAUUUAUGAACUUAUUAAAAGUUUGAGCAUGAGUUCCAUUUGAAUUCAGUGACCGCCUUAAUACUGUAUAUUCUUUGUUUGAUUGUCAAAAAGUGUUAAUUGUUUUUCACUUGUUUCUCUUUUAGAAAAGGUCAAUUGAUGUAGGAAAGCAAGGUAACUCUGUAAAAAAGGUAAAAAAGGAGAAGGUCAGCAGUGCAACAGGGAAAAAUGCUAAACCAGAAGCUAACACUAUAUCUGCAGCACCUCGCAUUAAACCAGAGCUACCCUUGCCCACAGUGUAUUCUCCCUCUCGAGUAUAAUUUUUUUUUUGUAUAAUUGCCUUUGCAUGUGUUGGUUGUAGUUUAAACUAGAAGACUGUAUUUUAAUUUGCAGUGGGAACUGCAGUGCAGAGCCAUAGUUUUGCUCUAUUAGAUAAUAUUAAAGUCAUAGAAAAGCCUUCUAUUGAAGAUAUGUAGUUCUAUUAUGUUGAAUGUUGUAAUAUUAUUCUUGCAGUUCAACUGAUGUAGAACUGUCCAUCCUAGAAGAUUUAAGGAAUCGUGUACAAUUGAGUAGUGUUGCUCUCCCUUCAGUUAACUUCUACACAUUUGUAAAUACACAUAAUGGGUAAUCUCUCAUACUUUGGCAGAACAAGUUUAUUUAUGUUUGGCUUUCUGUUGGGUAACACUUAAAGUUUUUGCUCAACUACCCAGUUUAAGCUGUUCAUCAAUAUCCCACAAUGGAUCAUUGCUUGUUGGAGGAUUUUCUGACUCGUCACUAAAGGUUCUUUCUCUUCAUCCUCCUCCUCUUUCCACCCUUCCAAAGGAACACUUUUUUCCCUUAACAGCUUUAUCUUACCAGAUAAUGUGAACUUGGGGUAAUUAUUAUGACUUGUAUCUGCAGGUCUGGGAUAUGGCAAAACUUGAGCAACAAUCCACCACUUGUAAGUUCAUUGCUUAAAUCCUUCUGUUUAGUAAAUUUGUUGCAUACUUUGCUUUAGAAAUAUGAAUGAUUAGAAACAGGUUUCACUACUAUUAAUUGAAAUGCUCUAGAACAACUUAUAAAACUGACUUCUGUGUAUAUGUGUGCGUGUAGAAAUUCAUGCAAAAUAUAGAGUAGCAUAGCUUCCUCAUGGUGCAUUUCUUUUAGACUUUUGAUUUUAAGAAUUUGUAAGGGGACAAAACUUGGUAUAAAACGUGAAGUAAAACAGUGUGGGUGCACUAUUUUCCCCACAAGUCAUUGGACAUUUUCCAAAAAAUGUUUGGGGUGAUUGAUGAAUCUUUUGGUCUUUUUUCUGGAUUGUGAAGUGGAUCUUAAAUAUCAUUUAAGAGAGUGAUGUCAUUGUAAUUCACACACAUGCAUGCAACAUAUACAGUAGUAUAGCUUCUUUGAUGGUGCAUUUUCUUUUAGAUUUUUCCUUUAAAACUUUUAGGGGAAAAAACUUUUGGUACAAGAAUGUGAUGUAAAACAGUGUGGGUGCACUAUUUGCCGGCUUAAUAGCCUUUUAUUGGAAAUGUUAUCUAGAAAGGUUUGGGGGAUUUAUCUGAUCUCUCUGGGUCUUUUUUCUGGAUUGUGUAGUGGAUCUUAAAUAUCACUUGAGAGAGCGAUGUCAUUGUAAUUUGUGUGCAGUGAAGGUCCUUCACUAAUAUGUUGAUAAUCUUGUCCACCCACAUAUGAAACUGGCUUCUUAAGCUCAAAUAUCAUGUCUAAUGUUAAAACAUUAGGGUGUCUAAAAAAAAUGACUUUUGGAGUUGAACCAAGUCUGAAGGUUCCGUUUUAGCUAAAGUUAAACUGAUAGAUACAAGUUUUUUAGUCUUGAGGAUGAUUUUCAUCUGUUUACUUGUUAUAAUAGUUCAGUCGUUUCUAUCAUCAGAUUUUUCGCACGGAGGGAAUGACACAUCACAAAAUGAACACAUUAUUGGGCAAAAUAGUGGGAGAAGACAGUACACAUUGUUUCAAGGUCAUUCAGGUCCAGUCUAUGCAGCCACUUUUAGUGAAGCCGGGGAUUUUCUUCUUUCCUCUUCAGCCGACAAAACAAGUAUGUUAGUUUGAUCCCAAUUGAAUGAUCUAUUGUUCUUUCCUAAUUCUGUCUUCACCUUUGACAGUUUACUUCGUUGUUUUACAUUCAAUUUUGAGAAAAUAGGAUACUUGACAACUCCUACACAUACACUAACCACCUUCCUUAAAACCAUGAUUUUUUUUUUAUCUUACAUCGACAGUUUAUAGAAAUUAAGCUUUCUAUAUAUUUGUCGUAUUUUUAAUUCUGCAAGUCUUAUUCUGAACCAUGAAUAUACAUUUAUGCAGUUCGACUAUGGAGUACAAAGCUUAAUGCCAAUCUUGUUUGUUACAAGGGUCACAAUUACCCUAUCUGGGAUGUUCAGGUAAAUUCUUAUCAUCUAAAUCUUUCUAACUUCUGUGGAUCUUGUUAAACUCUAGAUUAGAGAAAUAUUGAAACCGUGUAUUUCUGAAACAGCAUGAGUGUUUUAUUUAUAUUAAGAAAAAAUAAUCAAUACAAUAAUAGAAGAGAUUUAAUAUCUUUUAAUAACAAAGAUAUGAUACGGGGAUAAAUAAAAACAUCCUAAUAUAUAAUUUGAUAUUUUUUUAUUAUCUAAGAUCAACUCCUUAUUUUUAUAAUUAUAACAUAGGUGAUGACAUUGAACAACGCACCAUAUACUCUUAAGGAUAAUUUGAAAUUUAAAUAUUUAAAUGUAAUUGAUGUGGUGAUGCCAUAUGACUUUUAGAGAAGUUGUAUAGUUACAAAAAAUUAUGUAACAAAGAGAGAUAAGGAAGAGAAGAGAGAUAGUGUGGGAUAAGAUGGUUGAUGGGAUGCAGAGAGAAAGUAAAAAAAGAUAAUGUAAAAGAUGUAAUAUCUAGAAGUACUUUGCAGUGUACUCUCUUCGAAAUAUACACCUUGCAUCUUUGUUCAACACAAAGUAUGAGUAUCUUUGAGGGAAUUCUUUCUCUCAAGUUUUAUCUCUUGAGCUUAUGAAGGUUUUCUUCUCUACCCAGUAGAUAUUUUGUUUCUCAGCUUUCCUUUUGCCUUAUUCUAUUUAAUUUUUGAUUCAUUACUGUCUGUAUUUACAUUCUAGACUGCUACAUUAUUUUUUUUCUGGUGCAGUUUAGUCCAGCAGGGCAUUAUUUUGCCAGCUGUUCACAUGACAGAACUGCCAGGAUUUGGUCUAUGGACAGAAUAAAACCUCUAAGAAUAAUGGCAGGACAUUUGUCAGAUGUUGAUGUGAGUUUUAGCAGUUAUUUUUUUUCUUCUAUUGUGCUUGUCCUAAUUUUCUUCAGAUUUUAUAUCAUCCACUAGUUGAUUACAAUUUUUUAUUUACGUAGUGAUUGGUCCAGAAAUUCAUAUACCUGUUCAAGUUACUUUGUUCUGUUAGCUUAUAUUAAUGUGAGAAGCAGCACUUUUAAAGAAACACCUUAUACUAAAUUGAAGUGUGAAUUGAGUUUGUUGUCCGGGUCCUAGGCCCUCAAGCUACAAAUUAAAGAGAGAUUAUCAAAAUAAAAAUUGUAUAUGCCAACUCACCUAACAUUUUUAGCCUUUUGGUUCGAUUAUGUAAUUUAUUAUGCUUCUCAAGGAAAUACAGGACAAAAUAGUCACUAAAAUGUUUGGCGACCCUGAGUUCACAUGGCAAUUAAUUCCCUUGGUCUUUCAAGAUCAAGUGGCCACUGCUGAAUGGGGCCUCUGCAUCCGUUCUUCCUUGGAUCCUAGUAGGGUCUCCCUAGUUACCACAAUAAUAAUCAAAAUACUGAUGAUGAUGAUGAUGAAUAGAGGUGUUAAAUCUGCAUUUCUUCUCCUCAUUGAUGGGGUAAAAUUAGAUGAGAGUAAAAUAAUUAUAUACAGGUGUUGGUUCUUAUUUUAGAUAAAUGAAGAAUUUAUAAAAAAAUAUGUCAAAACAAGUGUAUCAUCAGGGAUGUUCUUAUGGUUACAAAGAUGAUAAAACGAGAGAGAAAGAAAUCAACACUCUGAAAUGGUUUUGCCUCAAGUUUUUCUUAGCUCCCCUCUUCCUCAAGCAAUUGGGGCCACACGUCCAGACCACCUAAGCUGAAUUUCUACCAUCUUUUCUACAAUAGGUGCUAGUUUUUCUCUAAUACAUUCAUUACUAAUCUGAUCGUGCCCAUAUGCUCACUCAUUCAACACAACAUUCUCACCUAUGUAUGUUUAUUUUGUUCUUCUGUUGGUUUUUUCUACCCAACAAUUACCUCCACACAACAUGCUUGCCUUAGUUGUGUGAUAAAUUUUUCCUUGACAUUUGGCUCUUAGAUAUUUGAAUCAAUUGACAAUCCUGCAUUUAUUUAUUUUCUUUUUUUGUUGAGGGGGUCCAUAAUUGUGUUGACUGCUUACUCAUUCCCUUAUGGAUUACUUUUUUCUUAAAAAAAUGAUAUGAAGUACUUCAAGAAUAUUUUCAGUUCUUUCAAUCUUAUUAACUAUGCAAUGUUUACCUGUUUUUCUGUCUCGUUUAGUGUGUGCAGUGGCAUCCCAACUGCAACUACAUUGCUACUGGCUCCAGUGACAAAACAGUUCGACUGUGGGAUGUGCAGAGCGGGGAAUGUGUUCGGGUUUUCAUUGGUCAUAGAAGUAUGAUUUUGUCUUUGGCAAUGUCCCCUGAUGGGCGCUAUAUGGCAUCUGGUGAUGAAGAUGGCACAAUCAUGACGUGGGACCUCUCUAGUGGCUGUUGUGUCACACCUCUAGUCAGUCACACCUCAUGUGUCUGGUCACUCGCUUUCAGGUGAUCCCCACAAACAACUCCGUCAACAUUUCAGCUUGAUCAUAGAAAUGAAAUCGAAAGGUAUUUUAGGUUGCUAUCAAAUUCUUAACAUCGCUUCUGUUCUUUGUUGUUGGACGUGUCAGUUGUGAAGGUUCUCUUCUAGCAUCUGGAUCUGCUGACUGCACUGUCAAAUUGUGGGAUGUUACUACAGGUAUAAAGGUUCCAAGGAAUGAAGAAAAGUAAGUAGUUUAUCUCACAUGAAAACAUACAACUAUCUCGUUAGAAAUUUUCUUUUCUAAUGGAAAAACUGACCGCGUGUGUUUUUCAUAUUAGUAGAAGUGGGAAUACUAACAGACUCAGAUCAUUAAAAAGCCUGCCAACCAAAUCUGCUUCAGUUUACUCUCUCCAGGUACAUUCACUAAUUACCCAUUCUUUGUUUACUAAUCCAUGGUUACUCUUGAUUCAACUUUUUAAAGAUUUAACUACUGUGUUAACUCUGUAUUGUGUUCCGGAGCAGUUUUCUCGCAGGAAUCUUCUUUUUGCAGCUGGAGCUCUUGCAAAAAGUGGUUUUUAGUAUGUCGACAAAUUUUGAAGUGGCAGUUCCGACUUAACACCAAAAAACAUAAUGUUGUGUUAUACCAUGUUUUUUAUUUGUAAAUUUAUUAGUAAAUUGAACUGAAAUUAUUCUCUCAGCAAGUUUUUGUAAUCCAUGCUAUUCAUAAUUCCCCACCCAUCAAUGUAUGAUAUACAUUGUAAAAUUAUUAAGAGACAGGAGGAAUUACUCUUUCUUAUCAAUUUGUUGCUUUAAUCCUCUUAUGUGACCUUGUUUAAUAUUUGAUUAAUAUUGCCCCUACUACCCUUGAAUGCUGCUAGAUGCAGAACUAGAUAUUAUUUUGCCCUGACUGUUGAAAUAUUGCUUCCAUUAUAGCAACAUGGAAUGAUACCCUAUUGUUUAUGAUUAGUGUUUUUACUAAAACUAGCGACAACAACGUAUGUUAUAUAAACCAAAAAGAGUAUUUAUCUUUAUUAAUUGUUAUAUUAAUACGUACUUGUACAUUUCACCUACAGCUGUGAAUAAAGUUCACGAUGGUCAAUCAUUUGAACUGGUUAAAUUUUAAGCUUGGACAAUAUCAGCAUAAUGUGAAAAAAAGUUGAGAUUAUCUUUUAAAAGAAAUGAAUUCCACGAGAUUUGCACCAUUCAAUGCCAUAAGAUUUAUCACACUUUUCUUCUGAUUUUAAACAUAAAAUAAUUUGGCCUUAAGUAAAUAUGAGUUAGUUUUAUCUAAUUAUUGAGUCAAUUUUUAAAUAUUUUUUAUUUUAUUUUUAUAUAUAUUUUUUCACAAUUUGGAAAAAACAUCUAAAUAAAAUUUGGUACCACUAAAUGAUAUUACUUUUUUAAUUAAUGUGAUCUUUUCUAUAGUGGGCAUACAUAUAUAAAAAAAAAAAAUAAGUAAUUAAUUUUCUCAACAUGAUCCUUAAAACUUCAGAAUGAAAGGUGACAUCCCAGAAACAUACAAGUUAGUAGUAUAUACUAUAAAAAAAUGUUACAAAUUUGGAAACUUCUAUCCUACCAAAAAGAAAUCACUAGGUACAAAUUUACAUGAAAAAGAAACCUUGCAUUAGUGAUACCAUCGAUUAUCAACAACCAUUGCCUCCAUUGUAGGGUCACUUUGAGAAUUCUACUGUACUAACAGUACAUAUUAAAACACCAUAAAACAUUCAAUAAUUGAUCUCCACUUGUAGGUUAGGGUGUCAUUAGACUAUCAUUAGUGUUACCAAACAUUCAUUAUUUGUAGCAUGCAGUAAUUGUUUAUUAGUAAAAACAAGGAACAUUAGUGGUUUAUGUCAGGUGUGGAGGAAGCGUGCUAGAUUAAGGGAUGCAUGUUAUGAACAAAAAAAGAAAUCAAAGAAUCAAAUAUCUGCAUCAAAAGCAUCAUAAUCAAUCAGUAAGCUUUGUUUGGUAUCUUUAGUCUUAAAACCUACUUCACUACUCACAAGUGCCCUUAAGAAUACCCUAAUAUCCAAAAACAAUUAUAACAUAUGGUCAGUAGGUACUUUUAGAAGAAAAAUAAUAUCAUUUUCUAUAAAUUAAUUUAUCUAUUAACUUAUUUUAUUUUAUGAUUUUUUAUUUUUUUAUUUUAAAAAAAAGGGCUUAUGAAAAAAAAUUCAAAGUCAUAUUUUGAUUAAUAUUGAAAUUCAUUUUGUCCUUACUUGGAAGGUCCCCGCAGGGCAAAACAAAGUGGUAACUAUUUACCAACAUUUGUCAAUAUGUAUUCAUAUGUAAUGAUUUUAUUUGGCUCGUAUUAAAAAUUGUUAAUAACACAUUCUUUAGGAGUUAAGCACAAUUUUAAACACUCUACUGAUAAUUAAAAUUAUAUAAACUUCACUCUUACAUGAGGUUCGUGUUACUUUUAAUAUAUGGAUAUUAGAUAAGAUGAAAACAUGUAUUAAAUUGUAUUUCGUUAAUAAUCUUUUAAUAAAAAACAACAUAUAAAAACAUGUAAGAAGGUUUACAAUAACUCACUCACACGCCCACCCUGUUCAAUGAAUUGAGGAAUCAAAUUAUGAUUGCAAUUGAAAUUUGGAGUUUAUCACAUGAACUAAUUGCUCAAAACAUUCUAUGAAAAUAUCACUUCUGAAUCAUAUAUUAUUAAUUAAGGCUGCAGACUAAUACAAACCAUCACCAGCAUCUUCAAAAAGCUGUCUGCAAAGAAGAUGCAAAUAUACUAUAAAGUUUGCAUACCAGCAGGCAUGAUAAUCAAGAAUGAACACUAAGAUCAUUAUCAAAACAAGUAAAACACUGUUUAAUAGCAUGUAGAGAAAAAAAACAUCACAGACACAUUCAAGAAGAAAAAAACUCCUUAAAAGACCAAACUACAGUUUGGAAAGUUAUUCUUUAUCAAAAUAAAUAAAAAGUGUCUUGCAUAAACCAAACAUAUUAUAUACCUAGGUGAAAAUUAUGUAUAUGCUUCCAAAUAAAAUAAUAUAUAAUUCAAGAAAAUUGAUAUGUGAUAUCAUACAUAAAAACUGCUAAUUGUGCAUUCACUGGAACAAAAAACCCGUAAUGAAAGGUGAAGACGAAUCUCGUUUCCAAUACUCAAUUUUUUUGAUUGUGUAUUCAUUUGUAUAUGUUGAAGUUCUUAUCUGGACUGUUUCUAUUAUGACAUGAGCCUAAGAUCAUCAUAAAACUUUUUUUUUUUUUACAAGCAAAAUACAUAUAUUAAAUACCAUUCUGCAAAAGAAGUGCAGUUGAAUCGCAUUCACACGACAACAAAAGCAAAUAUCUCCAAAACAUUUGUGAAGCAAAAUACAAGCAUGUGACAAAAUAGUAAGAACCCUGCAUAAUUUUCUCUACCAACCUACCCUUUAACAUUCUUUUCAUUGAAAUGGCCUCCUAACAUUCAUUUGGGUCAGUUUUUGCCUCAUCUUGUCAAAGAAAAACUGCUCUUGAAGUUGCCUCAACCAAGCUUUUACCUAAUGACAGCAAUGCCAAGGUUAUAAAUUAUGCAACUUUACUCAAUAUGCAGUCACCACCUCAGUAACAAUUGGAGAAAAUUAUUCAGCUUCAUUUAAACAUGUACAAAAGAAUCAACAGUGAUUAGAAUAGAUUAUGUGGAUAAGACUUUUGUUGUUGCUAUUGUUUGGAUAUAGUAUAAAAGCAUUUUAUACAUGUUUUGGUAAAUAUAAUAACUGUUUCAGUAUUCAAAAGUCAUAGAUAGUUCUUAAGAUAGUUAAAGAUUUGAAACAUUGAAUAUAACAAACCUCUCCUACUUCAACAAUUUUUCUUCUAAGUUAUGGUUGUGACUAAUCCAUAACAACAAAUUAUCACAAGAGUCGAUCAUAACCUUAAAUUUCAAAAUCAUGUUAUUGGACCAAAGAUCCAUAGAGCUCUCAACAACACUGCACCUGUAUAAAUAAUAUAACUGUCGAAAUCAUAAAUGAAAUAAUUAUCCAUCACUUCCAACAAAGUGAACUUUUCCAUUAUAUACACCAUUUAUAUUGCCAUUUUAUUUUGGGUUGUCGUUGUGCUAACUGUGUAUGUUCAUAUUGUCUCUAUCAGUCCAACUACAAACUGAUAUAUUACAGAAAGAAAUGCAAAAAAAAUAGCUACAAAAUAUAGAAAUUUAUACUAACGACUACAAAUUUAUUUAUAAUCACAAAAGUACAUAAAUCAAAUAGAAAUUAGACCAUCAAUAAAAUCACAAUAAUAUAAAAAGUUGCACAAAUUAGCCAGUUACCUUAACAGAAUCAGGAGAUUGCGUGUCAUUCAUUCGACAGCAUCUUAAAAUUCUCUCAAGCCUAUUAGUAUCAACAAAAGAUCAAUUUCCAACUUAAAAUCAUAAGAUAAUUGGAUGCACUGCUCAAAACUGCAUUAGAUCAUGCCACAAAUCAUCGAAUAUGACUCUUGAAGAAAUGUUAACAAAUAGAGCAUUCAGUUAUAAGAAAGGAGGUAGGUAUGCUAGUUUCCUUAACAUGUCUUAAGGCUAUUAGUUCUGAAAAGUUGUUUUAGCUAUACUUUUAUUUAUUUAUGUAGAUGUAGGACCAUGCAAGGUGAAUUUGUCUAACCACUACACGUACAACUGGAAUAAAGAGUUUGAUUGCUAAACCUUUUCAGUAACAAAUUGAUAUGUGUUUCUUGUCCGACACAGCCACGAUAUAAAAAUAUCAGCACUCUUUCAAUGUGAUGAAUAAAGAGCAAUUAUAACAAGUACAUAUUUUACUGUUAUAAGGAAGGUAAUACAACAGUUACAACUAAGAAAGAUUCAGUUUAUGCUUUGUAUCAGCUCAGCAUCAAACUCAACAAGAAAAGUUGCAAACUGUUCACAUAAAAUGCAUAUUUAUCAGGUUAUUGAGAUCCAACCAGAACCUUAAAGCAGUAUUAGAAAACAUAGGAAAAAGAAAAAAACAAAAAAUAACAAAGUAAAAUCAUUUGACCACUGCUCACCAAACUCCUGUUUCAAAAUGGGGUAUUAUUCUGACAAGUUUUGGUGGGUAAUGAUAAACCCUAUAUUCAUCACCCUAAGAAUAGGGUUGUUUGCUAAGAAUGAGAGCAGCACAAAAUAGUAGCGUUUGGAGAUUGUAACUAAUUGAGCCAAAUACUGCUUCAGGUGAGAACAUUACAGCAAUGAACAACUUGAUGGCCCGCAUACUCUAUAUACUUAAAAUAUGAAAGGCUAUGAAAUCAGAAAAACGAUAUAAUAGCUAGCUAGAUGCUAGAAAGUGAACAACAACAAGUGUGGACCAUACUAUAUAACGUGUAUGGUCCCUCCCACUCGCUACCAUACAAAUACACAUAAAAAAGCUAAAAAAACGGUGCCCCUCAAGGUCUGCACAAUAACCAGGGUACCUUGUGCAAGGUAAUGCUAUCAAAAGUCACACUUAUCCAUUUUGUAAGGACUAGUAUACUAUAAACCAUAAUAAAGCCAAUCAAACAACACGUAUGCUCCAGUUUGAACUAUAAUUAUAGUAACAGUUAAAAUAAAACAAAAUAACAAGAUACAUAUUAGCAAAACACCAAAGACAUAUAUAACUUUACUCACUGUUAAUGUUAAUGAAAUAUAUAACCACAGUAAGAGACAUUUUUUCAUGAGCUGCAUCAGAGAGAGAGACAGAGAAGAUGAUGUGGUUUGUUUAUGGAGCAACUUAGUAGACUGGAGAAUUUUCUGGCACUGAAAACCGACAGAAAGAGUAGUGAGCACACAAAAGCAGUGAUAUAGAGUUAUAUCAUAUGCCUCUUUGUGCUCACUCUCUUCUGUCAAUUUCUGUCCAAAUAGAAGGAAUUAAAGAAACUAAGUACACAUACAAUAGCAUCCCAAAUAUGGAAAGUUCACAACAAAAGGUUUGGAAAAACCUGAAGGGAAAAAUAAAAGCCACACAACUGAGUCAGAUCUGGGGAGGAAAAAUGUGAUAUCCAUUAAAGGAAAACUUCACGAACCUGGUGUGCUAAAAAGGUGGAAAAUCUAGGAUCUGACAUGCAUGUUCUCAGAGGAACACAAUUCUGAGAAUUUAGGGUUUGUCACCAACAACCUCAGUCCCACAAAUAAGGACACAAACCAGAAAAACAAACCCCAGAAGAUGAAUCAAGAGACGAGGAAGAGGAUGAAAUGAUUUUGAGACGAUAAAAAAGAACAAAAAAAAAAGGGUAUUAACACCAUAAAACAAACUCCAAUCAAAACCAUGUUGGAACACACAAAACUCCUUCUCUCUCUCUCUUCAUGUCUGACUUUCUGUACAUUGAGUCAGAAAGAGUCAUGCAAAACGUAGAGCUGACAAGUAGCAAGGUUACCAGAUCGGUGUGACAGAUCUAUGUGCAUGAUGGGGUGUGAGAAACUGAGAGGGUUGCAAUAAAUAGAUGAGAAAGUGGUGAGUUGAAAUGAAAUAAAAAGAGCAAAAAGAGAAUGCAAUUUGUUAUGUGUGUAGGAGUAGGAAAAGGGCAAAGAUCUUAUCCUAACAAUGGAAAUGGAAAUGGAAAUGGAGCAGCCUUUUGGUUUUGGUGUGUGGAGUGUGUGAAGUGUGUGGAAGAGAGUGGUAGAUAUAUAGUAGUUUAAUGGUACACUCAGAGAAAAUGGGGUUUGGGUUUCCCACUUACGCUAGCAAAAUUAUCAUUAUUAUCAUCACCCAUUCUCUCUCACUCUUCUCUUUUUGGGAACACAAA
This 21010-nucleotide long non-coding RNA is filed under the name Phaseolus vulgaris (common bean). RNAcentral describes it as "long non-coding RNA (PVUL_LNC004826)". Lineage: Eukaryota; Viridiplantae; Streptophyta; Magnoliopsida; Fabales; Fabaceae. The record is from RNAcentral.